Long non-coding RNA from Brachypodium distachyon (stiff brome), 644 nucleotides. RefSeq lists it as uncharacterized. The record is from RefSeq and is a predicted model, not a curated record. The transcript has 2 exons. NCBI's taxonomy places the organism in Eukaryota, Viridiplantae, Streptophyta, Magnoliopsida, Poales, Poaceae.
CGUGCGCACCUUUCCCUUCUCUCUCGUCUCGCGUGCGCGGUGGCCCACAGGAGCCCCUCGCAGCUCCCGCCGACGAGCAGCAGCCUCGAUCUCCCUCCGCGCGAGCCGCCACGGCCUACCUCGGCCAUGGAUCGGUGCCUGCCUCGCCGGAGACCGCGCCCCAUGCCUCGACCGUCUCGGCGGCGUCCUCCUCAGCUCCAGAUCGAUGCAGUGCCCGGCUCGCGGAGGGGGCGGGUCGACCUCCUUGUUGGCCACCUCUACUCGAGCCUCGCCGCCAGCCAGCUUCACCGCGCCGCGCCGCUCGCCUCCCUCUGGUUCCUCCCUCGCGCGCCUCCUCCGGUCCCUCCUCCGGCUCCACGACACAGCACCGAGCAGCACUAGUGACUCAUGGUCGAGGAAUCCCCAACGGAUCAGGUUUCUUCCUGGCUGCGUUGAUUGAUUCAUGGAAUCUAGAAUGUUGCAGAGUGGACAGCAGCUCACUGAAUAUAUGGGCUUGUGCUAUGUUCAUGUUGAAUAGAAUAUAGGUCGAUGUGGAUAAAUUUUGCUUUUAUUUUGGGGAGAUGGAGACAAAAUUCUGACGUCACAACUCGAUGUUUUCUUGUACCAAAAUACAAAUUAUAAGCGCUGAUAUAAAAAUAUUCUAA